This 1461-nucleotide long non-coding RNA is filed under the name Equus caballus (horse). RNAcentral describes it as "lncRNA (ENSECAG00000046156.1)". Lineage: Eukaryota; Metazoa; Chordata; Mammalia; Perissodactyla; Equidae. The record is from RNAcentral.
AUGAGCUCCUGAACAAAAUCAACUCAGCAGUUUGUUUCAGUAUCAGCUACUACCCCAGCCCUCGCCAGUGGCUGUCAACCAUGGCUGAACAUUAGAAUUGCCUGGUGAGUGACCGAUUCAUUCAGCUGGGACUGGGACUCAAGCAUUAUUUAGAAACUCACCAGGAGAUCCACCGGCAGCCAGAAUUGAGAACCACUGGUCCAAAACAAAUAGAUAAAAAUCUACCAUCUCGUUGAAAAGAAAAUGACCAAUAUUCACAGAUUCGAAAACUAACAGCCAAUAAUGGCAAUGAUGAGGAGAAACCUUCAUUCUCAUGCAUUGCUGAAGAGAGAAUAAAAUAAUUUCCAAACCUUUCUGAAGGGCCAUCUGGCAUCUCUCUGGAAAUAGUCCCUUCCAGGGACACACCUGCAAUCCGGAGCUAGCUGGAGGAGAACUGGGAGACUGCCCUCUCCAGCCUCCCCGCUCCGGGAAGGACCGCAGUCAGCCCCAGAGGGAAUUGCUCCAUGUGUAGCUGCGGAUUCAGUGUGUCCGUGGGAGGAGACUUGAUCAUUGUCCUUGUCUUCAUUUACGUCAGAUGGUGCUCCCUGUGGAGAGAGGCAGCUGGUUAUUCUGAGCUAACUCAGAUAAUCCUUAUUAAUAUAACCGCCUCCCUUGUGAAAAUCCAUCCAUCACCUUCACCUUGAUGGGCCACUGUCAGCAUGGUGCCUGGUGCCCCCGCCAGCACUUCACCCCCCGGAACACUGUGCCAUCAGCACUGGGACACUGUUUGCAAGGUGCAAACUGCAUGGGAAGCUUUUGAGCCAUUUACUUUACUUCUUCAAAAGUUUGAUUCAACUGAGGAAACGUUAACUCAAGAAAUAUAGGUUCUGGGGAAAUGAGCUUGGGAUCUUAGGAUGGCUCUUCCUAACAGGUUUCCUUGGAGACAACAGGCCAUGUUCUGGAGUAGUUUCUGGUCUCUAGGCCAAUACAAUGUCAGAUCAAUGUUUUUGUGAGGCAAUACCAUAGCAUGUGACCCGGGGGCAAUAGAGCUUUGCAAUUGGAUAAACUCCAGGUUCAGCAUGAACACCUAUGUAGGAAGGCAGCAGUUAACGCUUCCUAUUCAAUACAGAAAAUCCCCUGAAAUGAAAGAUGAGGAGCCAGUUGUGGGAGAAGGAGGCCACAGCAGCUGCAGAAACCUUCCCAGUCCCUCCCAUCACCCCCCUCCUUGUCAGGUUACUCUCUAAGCUCUUCCUGGCACGUGUAUGAGCCACUCUCUCUUGACUUUAGAGAUGACCUAUCUUGGCCUCUAAAUUUAAACUCACCGUGGGAUUGAAAAGUGAAUGGGGCCAAAGAGCCCUUUGGUGUGAUUUGUAUAAGGAUUAUUCCCCAGAACGAUACUGGAUUCUACUAAUGUGAGGCUUAAAGUAGAUGUGGCAGGAUGGUGGGCCUCUCAUGGGCAGCAAGGAGCUAGCAAACCAUGCA